This 1163-nucleotide long non-coding RNA is filed under the name Cricetulus griseus (Chinese hamster). RNAcentral describes it as "lncRNA (ENSCGRG00000025040.1)". The record is from RNAcentral. Lineage: Eukaryota; Metazoa; Chordata; Mammalia; Rodentia; Cricetidae.
GAGACAAUGCUGGUGAGUCCAGUGUAGUGAUUCAGGAGAGACCUGAGAGAUGGUGUGAAGAUAAGAGCUUCCGCUUGGAAGAAGGCACAGCUAACCCGGCUUUCUAGUGAGCUGUGGCUUUGGUGGUCUAUCUCAAAGUGUGCUCUCCACAGUCUCCCUUUCACAAGCUAACAAAGCUCUGUGGUGACAGAAAUGAUCACAAAGUCAAUUCAAGGUUUCCCCGAAGAAGUUUGCAAUUUGAGAAUGGAGCGUCUGAUCCUGAAAGCCAUGAUCCCAUGGGCUUAAGAGAAAUGAAACAGUUCCAAAGAUUCUGGACUCAUCUGUGUGGCCUUGAAACCAUCUAUCAUGAAACCAUGACAACAGAUAACUGAAGCUGGCAUGGCAAGAAGCUAAUGGUCAGGGCUGCUCUCAAGACAGUUUGGACCCCCUUGGCUAAGAGCCACAGUAGAACCCUCGGAGGAAAACACCGGAUGAGAAGCAUCCCGAGGAAAGAGGGGUUUAUUCUGUCUGUCAGUGUGAGGGGACACUGUCCUUCAUGGUGGGGAAGGUGUGAUGGAGGGAGUGGUUCCAGCUGUGGUGGCAGGAGUAUAAGGCAUCUGGCCAUAUGUCACUUGCAGCGACAGAACAGAAAGAUGUGCAUGUUGAUCCCCAUCUUGCUUCCUCCUUUGUCCUUUUAUUCAGCUCAUCUCAGAACCCCAUCCCAUGGCACUGUGGUGUCCGAAUUCAGAGUGGUUCUUCCAUCCUCAGUUAAACCUCUCUGGAAACAUCCUCAUGGACAUGCCCUGCAGUGUGUCUCCUGGGUGACUCCAAAUCCAUGCAGUCUGACAAUGGAGAUUAGCAAUCUCAGCAAUAGCUGGGCAGUGGUGGCUGAUGCCUUUAAUCCCAGCACUCAGGAGGCAGAAUAAGGUGGAUCUCUGUGAGUUUGAGGCCAGCCUGGUUUAUAGAGUGAGUGCCAGGAUAGGCUCCAAAGCUACAGAGAAACCCUGUCUCGAAAGACCAAAGGAAAAAAAAAAACUUAGAUAUUAAAACAACCACAGAAAUAAUAUAACCAGGACUCUGCUUUAGCAGGGUUUUACUGGGUAGGAUGAAGAGGGAAGAAUGAGAGAAGAAGUGGGGCCGCUGCUGUGACUGACAAUUAUUCCCACAACCAACUUUUAUUGAGG